GUGCAGCCGCUGAUCGAUAAGAUUGCUGGUAAGCUGUCCUUAAGGAAAGGCUGGCUUCUGAACAGGAAGGGCAGAUUGGUUUACACAAAUUCGGUGAUCACGGCUACGGCAACAUACUUCUUGACUGCUUUUCCCCCGGACAAAUGGUUUAUCAAGAAGGUGGAUAAGCUGAGGAGGAAUUUUCUUUGGGAGGCGGACGAUACAAACAUUGGGGGGCGAAGCCUUGUAAAUUGGGCACAAGUCUGCUCCCCAAUAAAGAAUGGAGGGCUGGGGGUGAAGAACAUUGAAUGUUUUAGUCGGGCCCUCCGGCUGCGAUGGGAAUGGUUUCGCUGGGCUGAGGAAGACAGGCCAUGGAAGGGAUCGCCGACGCCAUGCGAUGAGAAGGACAAGCAGCUGUUUGCGAGCUGCACUUGGAUCAUGCUGGGGGAUGGGCGAACGGCUGCUUUCUGGACGGACUGA
RNAcentral lists this ribosomal RNA (459 nucleotides) under Triticum aestivum (bread wheat). Its description in RNAcentral is "partial small subunit ribosomal RNA". The record is from RNAcentral. Lineage: Eukaryota; Viridiplantae; Streptophyta; Magnoliopsida; Poales; Poaceae.